UUAUAAAAGGCUCCAUCUCCGCCUCGCUUUCUCCCCUACCCGAAAAUUGCUUCACGGCAACCCUCCUUUCCAUGGUGCAUCAGUGCCUUGUUGCUGUAUGAUUAAUUGGCUGUCGAUGUCGCGGUCGCUUUGAGAUGGAUGCUGCGCCGUGCUGGACGCCUGCGGGGGUGAGCCGCUGCCAGGCCGAAUGCCAUCGACGUCGUGCCGCUGGAGGGCAUCGUGGCUGCGCUCGCCUGCAGGGCCACAGGUAGCCAGGCCAGACGGCGCCGCUGUGUUGGUAUGCAGCAGCGGCACCGUGCUGUCUGCCUAGGUAUUCGUUCUCUUCCUCCAUCAUUUAUGCCUUGCUCUACUCUUAGGUAGGUCUGUAUUAGGCAGUGUUUCUUCUAUGAAGAACUGUGUACUGGUGAUAAUAGUGUGAGACUGUUAUUUACCCGUUACUUUUUUUGUGCGCUGGUUGGUGUGUGUGCGAUCUUAAGUGCAGAGCGUUUGUCAUUCACUGUAAAAAAAAUUGGGUGCAUUUAGAGUGUCUGAGUUUCUUUUAGGUUCUGCUCAUUUCUUUCCUAGAUAAUAAUGAUAACUAGAUGACUCUGCUACAUUCAUACUCGAUUUUCUGGCUAGGUGUUGUCUUCCUCGACUUCCGUCGCUCCGGGUCUGCAUCUAGCGCCGCGUUUUCGACCUCUCCGACUAAGCCACACGGUUGCCACCCACAUGCACCGCUCAGGCACUCCCAGUCCAGCCUCGGUGGUUAACCGGCUGCUCUGCGGUUCCCCCAUUGAGGGAGGGGGUUAACUUUGUUUGAUUCUAUUUUCUCUGGUUCACCCUCACGGCUGCGCUUCUUUCUCUGUCGCGGCAAGAGUCGCCGUUCAGGGACGUUACAUGGAUCUGGGUGCCAGAGCAGGUCGGGGCAUGGAGGCCUGUGAUCAAUAAUGCUAAACAUAGGAAGGUUUACAUGCUUUUACACGCUGACUAUGGUUUUUUUAAACAAACUAACCUCCUGAUUUUCAUGGGGUGGGGCCCCUUCUCCCGUUUAAUCUUCAAUCAAAACCCACCUUUAUGUAAAAACAUAUAGCCUUUCGUAUAUGUAGCAUUACCCGGCCUGUGAUGGACAUCGUGCAUGCAAAGGGCGGGCAGCAGCCAGUAGGUUAGCCCGCUUCGACGGCUGACAUCGACGAGGAGGCAGGGCUCCGAGGAGAUGUCCAACGUCAUUGACAGGUUCGGACGUGCCGACUAGAGCGUCGUCGAAGCCCGUACGUGCAAGCACGUGCGCACGAAAAUGCUGCUUCGGUCAGUAUUCUGGCCUUUGCUGCACUCACGCCUUGCCAUGGCAGUCCUUGACGGUGUGAAGAUUCUUGGUGCCAAAGGCUACUUCCUGGAUGAUGAACACGAUCGCAAAGAAGCCAGGCGGCCGGUGGAGGUUCGCAGGUGAUGGAUGCCGGCUGGUGCAUGCGUCCAGGACGUGGUCACCAGGUGGGCAUGCGGCUGCAGCAGUAUAGUUCACGACUGAGCCCUCCAAAUGAGCACGCGCUGGUGCUACGCGUCGUGAGCCUUCUCAACGGCCACGGCGUGAUCUUUUUUUUUUUUUUGAGGGGAAAGAUCGCCGCUUUAUUAACUAAGUGUAGCUCGGAAUGUCAUCCGAAAUUACAUCCAAGAUGCAGUCUGGGGGAACCCCCAACCAAACCUUACACAAUUCAUCCCCUACCCCUACUCUUGCUAAUUUAUGCGCGGCAACAUUACCCGUGCGUCUAACCCACGUCACUUUGUACUGAUCCUUCGUCUCCAGCAUGUGUUUGAUUUCCUGAAUCCAU
RNAcentral lists this long non-coding RNA (1805 nucleotides) under Triticum aestivum (bread wheat). RNAcentral describes it as "long non-coding RNA (TAES_LNC011143)". Lineage: Eukaryota; Viridiplantae; Streptophyta; Magnoliopsida; Poales; Poaceae. The record is from RNAcentral.